AGCAGCCGCGGUAAUUCCAGCUCCAAUAGCGUAUAUUAAAGUUGUUGCAGUUAAAAAGCUCGUAGUUGAAUUUCGGGAUCAAUACGUUGGCCGUGCUUUCGGGUACGUACUGGCGUCAUUGGUUUCUCUCUUCUGACGAACCAUGAUGUCAUUAGUUUGGUGUUAUGGGGAGUUAGGACUGUUACUUUGAAAAAAUUAGAGUGUUUAAAGCAGGCUCACGCUUGAAUACAUUAGCAUGGAAUAAUGAAAUAGGACGUAUGAUCCUAUUUUGUUGGUUUCUAGGAUUGACGUAAUGAUUAAUAGGGAUAGUUGGGGGCAUUAGUAUUCAAUUGUCAGAGGUGAAAUUCUUGGAUUUAUUGAAGACUAACUACUGCGAAAGCAUUUGCCAAGGAUGUUUUCAUUAAUCAAAGAACGAAAGUUAGGGGAUCGAAGACGAUCAGAUACCGUCGUAGUCUUAACCAUAAACUAUGCCGACUAGGGAUCGGAUGAUGUUAAUUUUUUAAUGACUCAUUCGGCGCCU
RNAcentral lists this ribosomal RNA (520 nucleotides) under uncultured Glomus. RNAcentral describes it as "SSU rRNA". It matches the Rfam family "Eukaryotic small subunit ribosomal RNA", at positions 569 to 1088 of the family's 1831-position model. Lineage: Eukaryota; Fungi; Glomeromycota; Glomeromycetes; Glomerales; Glomeraceae. The record is from RNAcentral.